UGGUUCUGGCAUCGAUGAAGAACGCAGCGAAAUGCGAUACGUAAUGUGAAUUGCAGAAUUCAGUGAAUCAUCGAAUCUUUGAACGCACAUUGCGCCCAUUAGUAUUCUAGUGGGCAUGCCUGUUCGAGCGUCAUUUCAACCCUUAAGCCUAGCUUAGUGUUGGGAAUCUACUGAGCGGAGCUACCCUGUAGCUACCCUGUAGCUCCCUAAAUUGAACGGCGGAUCCGCAGUAUCCUCUGAGCGUAGUAAAUUUUUAUCUCGCUUUUGUUAGGUGCUGCAGCUCUUGCCGCAAAACCCCCAAUUUUUAAUGGUUGACCUCGGAUCAGGUAGGAAUACCCGCUGA
RNAcentral lists this unclassified non-coding RNA (343 nucleotides) under uncultured fungus. Its description in RNAcentral is "partial contains 5.8S ribosomal RNA and internal transcribed spacer 2". The stretch from base 1 to 133 matches the Rfam family "5.8S ribosomal RNA", at positions 22 to 154 of the family's 154-position model. Lineage: Eukaryota; Fungi. The record is from RNAcentral.